Molecule: ribosomal RNA, 802 nt
Filed under: uncultured Bacteroidia bacterium
Lineage: Bacteria; Pseudomonadati; Bacteroidota; Bacteroidia
Description: bacterial SSU rRNA
Rfam family: Bacterial small subunit ribosomal RNA
Source: RNAcentral
UUGAUCCUGGCUCMAGGAUGAACGCUAGCUACAGGCUUAACACAUGCAAGUCGUGGGCAGCAUCGGAGAAGCUUCGGCUUAUCCGGAUGGCGACCGGCGAAUGGGUGAGUAACACGUAUCCAACCUGCCGCCCAGUGAGGAAUAGGCUCCCGAAAGGGAAAUUAAUGCCCCAUGAGGUGUGUUUCUGACAUCAGAGACAUACGAAAGCCGCGAGGCGCUGGGUGAUGGGGAUGCGUCCGAUUAGCUUGUUGGCGGGGUAACGGCCCACCAAGGCGACGAUCGGUAGGGGUUCUGAGAGGAAGGUCCCCCACAUUGGAACUGAGACACGGUCCAAACUCCUACGGGAGGCAGCAGUGAGGAAUAUUGGUCAAUGGCCGCGAGGCUGAACCAGCCAAGUAGCGUGCAGGAAGAAGGCCCUAUGGGUUGUAAACUGCUUUWRCAGGGGAAUAAAGUAUGCCACGUGUGGUGUUUUGCAUGUACCCUGCGAAUAAGGAUCGGCUAAUUCCGUGCCAGCAGCCGCGGUAAUACGGAAGAUCCGAGCGUUAUCCGGAUUUAUUGGGUUUAAAGGGAGCGUAGGCGGAAUGCUAAGUCAGUUGUGAAAUACUGCGGCUCAACCGUAGAAUUGCAGUUGAAACUGGCAUUCUUGAGUGUACAUAAGGAUGGUGGAAUUUGUGGUGUAGCGGUGAAAUGCAUAGAUAUCACGAAGAACUCCGAUUGCGAAGGCAGCCAUCUGGGUUACGACUGACGCUGAGGCUCGMWMUUUYKGUAUCAAACAGGAUUAGAUACCCUAUAGUCCGCACAG